Molecule: ribosomal RNA, 460 nt
Filed under: uncultured bacterium
Lineage: Bacteria
Description: partial 16S ribosomal RNA
Rfam family: Bacterial small subunit ribosomal RNA
Source: RNAcentral
CCUACGGGCGGCAGCAGUGAGGAAUAUUGGUCAAUGGGCUUACGCCUGAACCAGCCAAGUCGCGUGAGGGAAGACUGCCCUAUGGGUUGUAAACCUCUUUUGUCAGGGAGCAAUUGGCGCUACGUGUAGCGUUAUCGAGAUUACCUGAAGAAAAAGCAUCGGCUAACUCCGUGCCAGCAGCCGCGGUAAUACGGAGGAUGCGAGCUUUAUCCGGAUUUUUUGGGUUUAAAGGGUGCGUAGGCGGAAUGCCAAGUCGGCGGUAAAAUCGCGGGGCUCAACCUCGCUCCGCCGUUGAUACUGGCGUUCUUGAGUGGGCGAGAGGUAGGCGGAAUGCGUGGUGUAGCGGUGAAAUGCAUAGAUAUCACGCAGAACUCCGAUUGCGAAGGCAGCAUACCGGCGCCCAACUGACGCUGAAGCACGAAAGCGUGGGUAUCGAACAGGAUUAGAUACCCCAGUAGUC